Pipra filicauda (Wire-tailed manakin) is the source of this 6623-nucleotide long non-coding RNA. RefSeq lists it as uncharacterized. The transcript has 3 exons. NCBI's taxonomy places the organism in Eukaryota, Metazoa, Chordata, Aves, Passeriformes, Pipridae. The record is from RefSeq and is a predicted model, not a curated record.
UAGGGUCUAUUAAGUUUAUUCCUCCUUCCCGUGCCCUGGGAGCCCCGGUUAAUGAGUAACCAUAGUGUGCUCGGAGGCAGCUGUCUCAGACAAACUGACGGAGACUUUUUUGGAGCUGCAUAAGGGAACGUUUGUUCUGCAGCUUCUCAAUAGAUCCUUGUGCAGGAGGCAAGAAGUGUGGGGAGAGAAAGAAAGAGACACUAAAUCACUGCCCUCCUCGAAAAUCUCGCUGCGUGUGUGUGUGUGUUUUUAUGCCUUUUUAGAAUAGAUGUUGGAUGAGUCACCUUUUCAAGCUGAAAUAAUGAAUUUAUCUUCCCAGCGGAGCACACAAUGUACUUUCUAACAGUGUUUUGGCUUUAAAGCUCUUUUUAAGUAACUUAAGGCUAAAACACACAGCCUAUAUGGACCCUGCCGUGGGGUUGGUGUCGCAGGAGUGGGGAUUUCCUUUGUCCUUCUCCCAGUGUAGAGCAGAUUUGGCUCUUGUGGGUCAUAAUUUUACCUGGUCCCUUCCUUCGCUUCUGUUUUAUGGAGAUUUUGGGGGUUUUAUCUGACAGUUGCCCUUGGGGCUAAGGCUGUUUUGCCUUCCCUGGGGUGCCUGGCUGAUGGGCUGGGCGAGUCCUGUGUCCCAGAGUCCUGGGUGACCUUGGCCAUGGCAUUUAAACCUCUUCCCUGCUCUGCUCGUGUCACUGAGCAAACAGGUGACGGAUGUGCCUUUUCUCAUACCUGCCCUGGCUUUUUCCUCCCCAUGUGCUGGGAAGUCCAUGGAGGGUGGAAGGGAUGUUGGGAGCAGGCAGGGAGCUGAGGGAACAGGUACCAAACUGCUCCUAGUUGUCUUGGGAUGUCUCUCCCUCUCUCUGUGGCUCUGUAAUUCUUUAGGUCCUUUGUUGUUCCCUUAAUUCUUUGUCAGUCUUUGGGUGUCUCGUGGCAGGUGAGCCCCUCACAGGGGCUGUGGUGGGAGUGCAGGAUGUGCUUGUGGGCUGGGGAGCCUCCCACCGAGCAGGAAAUGUCCCCACAGGGCUCAGGUCACUGUCCCUGCUCCUGUCCCUGCAGACACACUCGGGCAUUGGUGCUGUGCCCUCAGUGCUGUGCCCUCAGUGCUGUGCCCUCAGCCUGGCUCCAGGGUCCUGGGCAACCCCUCUGCCCCCUGGCAUGGCUUGGAGAGCAGGUUGGGCAUCUCCUGUCCGUCUCAUGACAUCUCUCAUUGAAUCACAGAAUCACUGAGGUUGGAAAAGACCUCCAAGGUCCUGGAGUCCAACCUUUGACUGAACACCCCCGUGCCAACUAAACCACAUCUCAAACUGCCACAUGUACUUGUGUUCUGAACACCUCCAGGGAUGGUGACUCCAGCACUUCCCUGGACAGCCUGUUCCAAUGCUUGACCACUCUUUCAGUGAACAAAUUUUCCCCAGUAUCCAACCUGAACCACCUCUGGCACAACUUGUGGCUGUUUCCUCUUAUCCUGUCCCUCGUUACCUGAGAGCAGAGCCCGACUCCCACCUCACCACAAGCUCCCUUCAGGGGGUUGUAGAGCUCAGACAUCAGGAGCAGUGAUGGCAGUGAAAUUCCUGCUCUGGACCUGCCUGGGACAAACCCCUCUGUGUGCUGUGCCCCUGCACUGCCCGGCUGCCUUUGCACCCCAGAGCCCUCAGCCCCUGGGCAAAGCAGCCUGUGGAGGGGCAGGAGUGUUUCCCAAGGCUUUGCCAUCCCUGCAGCCUCUCAGCUUUGCUCCAGGUCCCUCUGAAGAUGUUUCCCACUGCUCUUGCAGCUGGAGCAGCCCGUCCUUCCCAUGGCCCGGCCAGCACACGCCUGUGGUCCAGGCUGGGAUCCAGGACGGGGCAAAAACUAAAAACACAUAACCACACUUUUCCUCCUCUUUUACAAAACCUCAGCUUUUGGGUUUGGUGGUUGUUUUCUUUUUUAAAUUUUGGGAUUGGCUCAAGUUUUGGGAAAGGCUUCAGGCUGUUUGUGUUUUACCUGACACGCAGCUCCCCGUUCCCUGGAGCAACAGUUCUUUAUUGGCUCCUGCAGGCACUUGGCACUCCCAGCACACGAAAUGAAAAGCUUUUUGUUUCCAUAUUUCAAUAUAUUUAUAUAUAUUUAACUGGUUUGGGGAGGGUAUUUGCAGGUCAGAGGACUUUCAGAGGUUACUGUGCUGGCCAGGCCCUGGGAACAGCUGUCCUGUGGGAACUCAUUCCCAGCUCACCCUUCCCUGAUCUCUUUAUUUUGCCAGUGCUGGUGCCCAUCAAUCACUAAAUGCUUCUUUUUUGUUAUUGUUGCUUUUGGUAAAAAUCAACAGCAAGUUGCAGGGUGAAGUUUAUAGAUGUGCCACUCCUGAGCUGGUGUGGUAAAAGCAACACGACCUGGGGCCGUGAACCCAACUGUGCUCCCACAGAGGUGUCUGUACCAGCACAGCUUUCACAGGAAUGAGCAGUUUUCCUGCUCCCCCCUCCCUGUGCUGCUGUGGGUCAGAGCAGGGCUCCCAUGGCUUCCCAGUGCUUUCCCUGUUUGCCUGGAGGAGUCAGUUCUUCCUCCCUGACCAAUUCUGGCCACCGGGAAUUCCGUGUCUCAAGGAUAUUCUCCUGGAGGAGAACCAGUGCCUGCCCAUCCUCCUGGUGGCCUCUCAACCAGCUGUGACACGGAGUCCCAGAGCCAGCCCUGGAGCAAGGAGCAGAACUUCCCUCUCCAGCAAAACCCUCUUCCCUCUCCAUUUGCCCUUGCACUGAGGAUUUCCUCUCCUGAAAAGCUUUCACAGAGCUCGGAGCCAGCAGACCCAGCGGCCACAGUCCUGCCCCAUGUUGGACUUGAUAUUUAAAGCUUGGGUUUGAUGAUCCUGGAGGUGUUUUCCAACCUCAAUGAUCCCGUGAUUCUGCGUUCAGCAGCCCUUGGACCAAACCCCCCUGUCCUCCUCUCCGUGGAGCGCUGCCGGUCCCUGCCCCCGUGGGAUAAAGGAUGCUUUCAGCUGCUCCAACUGGAUCUGUUGGGAAACCACUGAUUUUCCACGCCUUGGAAACAUCUGGUUGACAUUCUGACAUCCACAGGCUCUUGUGUAAUUGCCCCUGUUCCCUGAUCCACACACAUUUUAUCUUGCUUUAUGGGCAAUCCUGCCCCCUCCCUGCCCACACCCCCCAGCCCAGGCUCCUCAUUAAAACUUGGUGCUUUUUCCUCUGGCUCGGGUCUCCCCUCCCCGGCUCAGCGGUGGCUGAGGAAUGUGAGACAGGAAUGCUGUCCUCUCACAAGGAGCUGGGAAGGGGGGGCACGGCUAUCACCUAAAAACAAUGUCUGUUUGCAUUUUCACUGUCUGGGUGUGCAGAGCAGCCACUGCUGCCUCACCUGGCACCAGCACAGCAUCUCCAACACCUUCCACCACCACGUCAUGGGCUUGCAAAACUAGGGCUGGGAGCAUCCUAUAAAUCAAUGUCAGGCUCUUCUGGGAAGGAUAAGUGCAGCUUUCCAUUGCAAUUCCUUCCUCAGCUUUCCAUUGCAAUUCCUGCCUCAGACCAGUCUCGGAGCUGCCACUUUUGGUGCUGGUGCAGAGCAUUAUUAUGGUUUGGGUUGGAAGGGACCUUUAAGCUCAUCUCUUUCCACAUCCUUGCCAUGGGCAGGGACACCUUUCACUCUCCCAGGUUGCUCCAAGCCCUGUCCAACCUGGCCUUGGACAUUUCCAGGGAUGGGGCAAAAUAAGCUCCAUCAUUUUACUGACAGGUGAGAAAAGGGAGGGAAAGAGAGCAGCCAAAUUUCUGUGCUUGAAUAAAACCAGUGGAGCUCCCAGAGGCUGGAAUCAGGACUUUCCCUGCCCCUUCCCAACAGGGAAGGAUUGUCAGACAGACAGUGCUUCACCCUCUUGGGCCCUGAAGCUGCAGAGACUUGUGCUGGGCUGGCACCAGUGGGUGCCUGUGGGAUGGUGAAUCCCAUGGGAGCAGCACUUGGAGCCCUGCUCCUCCACAUGGGCAUCACCCCACCAGCCAAGGGACAGGGAUGGGGCAGGGUGGCUUGGGGGGACACACAGGGAGUGCAGCAGAGCCCCCCCAGUGCAUUCCCCCAGCUCAGCUCUUCACUGCGAGUUGUGUUCUGGCUCUUGCCAAACAGGUUUUAAUUUCCAGAACGUGGGUAUGAAAAAGCAGCACAACCCCCUCCUGCACAGCACUGAAAUAUGGCUUUUUUUUUCUUUUUAAUAUACCAUAAACGAUGACCUUUUCCCUCCUUAAGCAGGCAGCCAACACAAGCACAACAAUGUGAUUUGUGCAGCUUUUCAGUUGCGGUUUCUUCAAGAAAUUCAUCUGGUCUCGAAGCAAUUAAGGGAAGGGAAGCAUUUCCACUCCGGCUUCGGGCCCUGAAAACCUGCCAGGAGGGUUUUUUUUCCUUCCCCUCCACUUUCCCUCUUGCUGCCUCAGCCCCCCUCACUCACUUGUCCUACAAAACCUCUGUGGUUUCACUUCAUCAGCUCUUCUGAGCGAGGGAGGGCCAAUCCUGACCCGGUGCAGGUGGGAAGAUGCUGGAUCCGUGUCCCUGUCCCUGUGCAGCUGGUGGGGUGGGACAUUGCCCACCUGGAGCCAAGCCCAGCAUCCAACUGGAUGAGGGGUGUGCAGGAUCUUCCCCCCCCGACCAGCACCUUCUGCACCCUCUGCCCUGCCACAGUCCAGUUGUCCCUGUGGCAGAGGGGCUGUGACUGCAGGGAGGGUCACGGGUGGCUGCCACUGUCCUUGUGCCUCAUGUCCCCUUUAGGACGUUUCCCAAAGCACGUGGGGUUCAUGGAGCAGCAGGGAAAGCUGUGGGACGAGACUCUGCCUGGACCGAGUGUGCUUGGGAGAACGGGCCUUAAAUGAGCCCCUGAGUUAACAGCACGGUUAAUUGCUCAUUCAUUCCACGGAUGGGUUAAUAAUUAAGUUAAAUUAAUAAUUGGGACAAUAAUUAAACUAAACAAUAACCAAUACACGGGACAAUUGAAGCCCUCGGUCUCCGCGCUGAGGUUUUGGUGCGGUUACUCAUUUACCGGCAGUUUAGGGGCCGGUUUGGCGUCGGACUGGCUGUGCCAGGGAUGCGGCUCCCGGAGUCCCGGGAAAAGCCGGGCUUUUCCAGGCAAAACCACCGGCUGUUCUCCCCCGGGAUGGCACAGAGCAACGGGGGCCCGCUGAAGAGCGAAACCACCCCCAAUCCUGCCCCCCACCACUCCCCCGGGUCCUCUCCCGCCCGCGCCCUCCCCUCCCCGCGCGGGCCGGACGGAGGGAGGGAGGGACAGACCGACGGAGGGAGGCGGCUCCGGGCCGGGGGGAGGAACUACAAGUCCCGUGAAGCCGCGCCGCCCGCCCGCCGCCCCGGGGCUAUAUAAGGGGGAAUGGCCCGGCAGCCGCAGUCGGAGCAUCCCCGGCCGCGGUGGAGCCGGUCCGGACCCGCAGCCGGGGCUCCUGCACCGGCACCCCCGGGGGGAUUCCCGACGGGAGUGGGGCCGUGCCCGGCCCCCUGGAGCGGGAUGUGGAUUUGGAGAAGGAGGAUAUGGAGCAGGAGGAGGAAGAGGAGGAUGGUGCCGCUCCCGCGCCGGGGGACCCGCAGCCCCGGGGCUGUUCCGGCGGGACGCGGCUCGGAGGUGGAUCUGGAGGCGGAGGUGGAGGUUUUGGCAUCUGCCGCUUCAGGAACGACAAAUUCCAUCGGCCACAACCGCCCUGGGACUGUCCUUGUGCCAGAAGUGAGGAGACCAGAGCCUGACCAUGUGCAGGAUUGGGACUUCUCCCCCUCCACCAACGGUCCCGAGCCGGGAGGAUUUGCCUCUGGAUGGUUCCUCUCCCCUGGGAUCUCUGACAUCAUAAACCCUCCUGGACUGCUGUGGGUUUUGGAUGCUCCCUUCUGUUUGGAGCUGGGAAUGGCACAGCUGGGAGGCUGCAGCCCCUGCUCCUCUCCAGCUCCCGUGGAUUACUGCUUUUGGCAUCACUGUGGUGGAACUGGCUUUGAGGUGUGACGUCUCCCAAUGGACAGAUGUGGAAAAGCAGCAGUCACAGCCCCUCUUUUUCUGGGCUGCUCUGGGCAUUGUGGCUCUGGAGGAGGAAGGAGUCCACGCACACGUGUAGGACAAAUCCUGCUUUUAGGGUCCGCGGUGAAGGCUCGGGGUGCGGGGACCCACGAGGGGACAGCCAAGGUGCUGCAGCUCUCACCGUGGCCAGGACAGCCAGGAGCACCCUCCCGAGGAUGGGCACUUCAGCUGCAGCACGGGGAGAGGGACACAGGGACCAGCAGCUCGCCCUGAGCUCGCCGGGGAGCGAUGGAGCAUCGGGGGCUGGGGGAGGUCCUUCCCUCAACACCCACCAAAACCAGCCCCGAAAGCAGCCCCUGUGCCCUCACUGGGCUCCGCAGCCCCUGCCUGCUGAGGGGGGGUUCCUCCCAGUGCUGACCUCGCUCCCGACUCCCACACAGAUCCGAAGGUCUUAAUUAGCUGCUCUCUGCUGGGCUUUGGAAAUUAUCCCUGUGGGAAGUGCUGGCGAUGGAUGGAUGGAUGGCCAAGUGCUCUGGGGCCAAACAGCAGCUCGGAGCUUUUCUCUGGGAAGGACCCCAGUUCCGAGGAACCAGCUGUGGAGUUUUUUUGUCUUUUUUUCUUUUUUACCUUUCUGUUCUUCUUUUUGAUGCCUUUUGGGGUU